GUGUCAGCAGCCGCGGUAAUACGGAGGGGGCUAGCGUUGUUCGGAAUUACUGGGCGUAAAGGGCGCGUAGGCGGGCGCAUAAGACGGGGGUGAAAUCCCGGGGCUCAACCCCGGAACUGCCUCCGAUACUGUGUGCCUUGAGGACGGGAGAGGUGAGUGGAAUUCCGAGUGUAGAGGUGAAAUUCGUAGAUAUUCGGAGGAACACCGGUGGCGAAGGCGGCUCACUGGCCCGAUCCUGACGCUGAGGCGCGAAAGCGUGGGGAGCAAACAGGAUUAGAUACCCUGGUAGUCCACGCCCUAAACGAUGAGUGCCAGUUGUUGGCGGGCACGCCCGUCAGUGACGCAGCUAACGCUUUGAGCACUCCGCCUGGGGAGUACGGCCGCAAGGUUAAAACUCAAAUGAAUUGGCGGGG
Molecule: ribosomal RNA, 413 nt
Filed under: uncultured prokaryote
Description: bacterial SSU rRNA
Rfam family: Bacterial small subunit ribosomal RNA
Source: RNAcentral